This 253-nucleotide ribosomal RNA is filed under the name uncultured bacterium. RNAcentral's name for it is "partial 16S ribosomal RNA". It matches the Rfam family "Bacterial small subunit ribosomal RNA", at positions 524 to 776 of the family's 1533-position model. The record is from RNAcentral.
UACGUAGGGGGCAAGCGUUGUCCGGAUUUAUUGGGCGUAAAGCGCACGUAGGCGGCUUUCUAAGUCAGGGGUGAAAUCCUGGAGCUCAACUCCAGAACUGCCUUUGAUACUGGAGAGCUUGAGUCCGGGAGAGGUGAGUGGAACUCCGAGUGUAGAGGUGAAAUUCGUAGAUAUUCGGAAGAACACCAGUGGCGAAGGCGGCUCACUGGCCCGGUACUGACGCUGAUGUGCGAAAGCGUGGGGAGCAAACAGG